UCCGCAGGCGGAUCUUUAAGUCGGUGGUGAAAUCCUACAGCUUAACUGUAGAACUGCCUCCGAUACUGGAGGUCUUGAGUAUGGAAGAGGGUGGCGGAAUUCCAGGUGUAGCGGUGAAAUGCUUAGAUAUCUGGAAGAACACCGGUAGCGAAGGCUGCUGCCUGGUCCAUUACUGACGCUCAUGGACGAAAGCGUGGGUAGCAAACA
RNAcentral lists this ribosomal RNA (207 nucleotides) under uncultured bacterium. RNAcentral describes it as "partial 16S ribosomal RNA". It matches the Rfam family "Bacterial small subunit ribosomal RNA", at positions 568 to 774 of the family's 1533-position model. The record is from RNAcentral.